UUUAAGGUCUGACCUGCCCAAUGAAAAUUAUUUAAUGGCCGCAGUAUUUUGACUGUGCAAAGGUAGCAUAAUCAUUAGUUUUUUAAUUGAAAGCUGGAAUGAAUGGUUUGAUAAAAAAAAAACUGUCUCAUUUUUAUUGUUUUAAAAUUUUAUUUUUAAGUGAAAAAGCUUAAAUUUUUUAAAAAGACGAGAAGACCCUAUAGAGUUUGAUUUUUAAUUAUUUUUUUUAUAUAAUGAUUAAAUUAUUUUUAAAAUUUUUAGAAAUUUUAUUGGGGCGAUAAAAAAAUUUAUUAAACUUUUUUUUAUUUUUACAUAAAUUUAUGAAUAUUUGAUCCUUAAUUUGAGAUUAAAAGAAAAAAUUACCUUAGGGAUAACAGCGUAAUUUUUUUAAAGAGUUCAAAUCGAAAAAAAAGAUUGCGACCUCGAUGUUGGAUUAAAAUUUAAUUUUGGUGUAGAAGCUAAAAUUUUAGGUCUGUUCGACCUUUAAAAUUUUACA
Molecule: ribosomal RNA, 496 nt
Filed under: Henoticonus sp. UPOL ZL0164
Lineage: Eukaryota; Metazoa; Arthropoda; Insecta; Coleoptera; Erotylidae
Description: partial 16S ribosomal RNA
Rfam family: Bacterial large subunit ribosomal RNA
Source: RNAcentral